Gadus morhua (Atlantic cod) is the source of this 1359-nucleotide long non-coding RNA. RefSeq lists it as uncharacterized. Lineage: Eukaryota; Metazoa; Chordata; Actinopteri; Gadiformes; Gadidae. The record is from RefSeq and is a predicted model, not a curated record. The transcript is spliced from 3 exons.
UCAGAAGGAGGGGACGGGCUCAGCUGCUCCCAUGCAGGCUGUGCAGCGCAGGGAUCUGGCGAGCUAUUUGCCAAGCACUUUCUUGGCUGCUCAUAGUACUUUUCCCCCUUUUUCUCUUUGUGGGGCUUGAUAGGGGGCUAUUUAAAAACAGCGACAGCAAAUCAGAUGCGGCCAAGCAAAAGGCGUUUACUUCGCCUCCAGUGGCUCGAGGUGCAAAAAUCCUCCACAAGCACUGUUUUCCUUUUAAUCUAACACCGCGUGGAAUAAAGUGUAGUUUUCUCGGGUGAACCUCGGGAACAUUUGCGGUGGUGGAAACAGGGGAUGAUUCGAGGAAGGUGGAAAUGCAGAUCAAUUGGGAAAUAGCGUCUGCAGGAGGCCUCAUCUGGUGACAUCUUCAUACAUGAUGCUCUCUGCUCUCAAAACACCAGCGACUCCUUGGGAUCAGCGUGCAGGUGAUCGCAGCGAGUGGCAGAGAGAGAAAUCGACCCAGCCCACAGUCCUAUUGCUCUUAUCGAGACACACUUUAGCAGCCUACCCUGAGCAACCUGAAGACACUGCGUUCAGCUACUCAACACAUGAAAACAUUUAAUAAAAUACAGAGCAUUUACCCACCAUGAAAAACAGUGUGUGUAAUUACCCUCCUAGGAAUUUUUGCAUAUUAGUAAAAAAGAAGUUAUGAUAAGUACCUUUUUUUCUCUGCUUUCUGUUCCUACAACCAGACCUGUUUUACAUGAAGGAUCAGGGAUGUCAGUAAGAAUGAGGCGCCUGCUCUUAAUCAUCGGGACAAAUACACCAUUAACUACACCAUUCAUUCUCCUGAAUCUGCAUUGAGUAUGGUAAACUCUGCUCAUUACCCAAGCAGAUGCUUUAAAAGCCAGACUGGAUGGGAUCAAAGGCCAGAGAGGGAGCGAGAGAGACGGGCUCUCUGGCUCCCACUGCUUCAGCUCAUUUUCAUUAUCCUACACACCGACCGAAAUAGCGAUCACAUUAUGCAUUAACGCUUUUAAAAGCUUCUCUCGUUCUCUGCCGGCCUCUUGAACACCGCUAAAUAUUGGAAGAGUUUCGUUGUGUUCCCAAAAUGACUCAGGAAGCCGGUCAACAGCCCAGCAGGGAUCCAGCGGUAGCAUCGCUUGAUUUGAUCUUUAGACAUAGACCUAUCACGACCCAGUAGGACGGCAAUAAAGAAGAGUUAAGGCAUGUGUGAGCGUACACACAAGCACACGUACAUAUGGAGAACACUUUAAGGAGCACAUCGUAGUAUGCUUGUGUCAGGGAAAAAAUGAGAGAUAAAUGUGUGUGUGUGUGUGUGUGUGUGUGUGUGUGUGUGUGUGUGUGUGUGUGUGUGUGUGUGUGUGUGUG